Molecule: ribosomal RNA, 598 nt
Filed under: Ditylum brightwellii
Lineage: Eukaryota; Bacillariophyta; Thalassiosirophyceae; Lithodesmiales; Lithodesmiaceae
Description: partial Bacterial small subunit ribosomal RNA
Rfam family: Bacterial small subunit ribosomal RNA
Source: RNAcentral
GAGGCAGCAGUGGGGAAUAUUGGACAAUGGGCGAAAGCCUGAUCCAGCCAUGCCGCGUGUGUGAAGAAGGCCUUUUGGUUGUAAAGCACUUUAAGCGAGGAGGAGGCUACUUGGAUUAAUACUCUAGGAUAGUGGACGUUACUCGCAGAAUAAGCACCGGCUAACUCUGUGCCAGCAGCCGCGGUAAUACAGAGGGUGCUAGCGUUAAUCGGAUUUACUGGGCGUAAAGCGUGCGUAGGCGGCUUUUUAAGUCGGUGUGAAAUCCCUGAGCUUAACUUAGGAAUUGCAUUCGAUACUGGGAAGCUAGAGUAUGGGAGAGGAUGGUAGAAUUCCAGGUGUAGCGGUGAAAUGCGUAGAGAUCUGGAGGAAUACCGAUGGCGAAGGCAGCCAUCUGGCCUAAUACUGACGCUGAGGUACGAAAGCGUGGGGAGCAAACAGGAUUAGAUACCCUGGUAGUCCAUGCCGUAAACGAUGUCUACUAGCCGUUGGGGCCUUUGAGGCUUUAGUGGCGCAGCUAACGCGAUAAGUAGACCGCCUGGGGAGUACGGCCGCAAGGUUAAAACUCAAAUGAAUUGACGGGGGCCCGCACAAGCGGUGG